GAAAGGUUCUGGAAAAUUUGACAACCAGAGGGUGCCUUUGACUAGCAAUGACAUUGUUGAACAGACACUGGGCCAAUAUGGCAUUAUAUGCUUAGAGGACGUCGUGAGAGAGAUUGCAAGUGUUGGUCCACACUUCAAGGAGGUUACUAGCUUUCUAUGCCCCUUUGCUCUCACUAAGCCAGAGAAAGCUUUGCAGGGUAAGAAGAAACGAUACAAUGAUGGUGGCGAUUCAGGAAAUCGUCAGGAUCACAUCAAUGAGUUGAUAUCUAAGAUGAAUUAGCAUAGACACCCGGGUUUCCAAACCAAAUUUUUGUUGAGUGUUAUAAUAUAGUUUGGUAUGGGUUAUUGUAAAAGAUGGAGCAUCGUAAUCACUAUACUAGGUGCUAUUCCUUUUCCUCCACCCAUUCAUGUCAUGUAUUGUGUCUCAAGCCAUUAGAAGGUAUCAUUGUAUCUUCUUUCCGCUACUAUUUUCAUACUGCUGAAGUUAAAAUGCCAAAAAUGUACCUACUACAUUAUUAUCAAUGAAAA
Molecule: unclassified non-coding RNA, 528 nt
Filed under: Hevea brasiliensis (rubber tree)
Lineage: Eukaryota; Viridiplantae; Streptophyta; Magnoliopsida; Malpighiales; Euphorbiaceae
Source: RNAcentral